CAAGAAACAGAUAUUACCACAAAACACUCCAAGGGAAAUCUCACUACACAAAAAGAGGUUGUUGCCUGGUGAUGGCUGGCAAUGGGCCAUGAAAACCUAGUUCUGAUUUUUAGAUACAAGAGACAAGCCCAAUGUGUCACCCAGCCUGGAUCCCAUAGAGGUCACAUGGACAAAACAGUACUUCAAGAUCUUUGACCUGCCUAGGUGGGCAACUGGAGUGGAAGCUCCACAAAGGAGAAGUGAUGGCGAAGUCAAGGCAUUAUGUGAACACUGGAAUACUGGAU
RNAcentral lists this long non-coding RNA (284 nucleotides) under Pan troglodytes (chimpanzee). RNAcentral describes it as "long non-coding RNA NONPTRT004835". The record is from RNAcentral. Lineage: Eukaryota; Metazoa; Chordata; Mammalia; Primates; Hominidae.